ACUCAAAGGAAUUGACGGGGACCCGCACAAGCGGUGGAGCGUGUGGUUUAAUUCGACGAUAAGCGGAGAACCUUACCAGGGUUUGACAUCCCGGGAAUCCCCCAGAAACGGGGGAGUGCCGCAAGGAGCCCGGUGACAGGUGCUGCAUGGUCGUCGUCAGCUCGUGUCGUGAGAUGUUGGGUUAAGUCCCGCAACGAGCGCAACCCUCGUCGUAUGUUGUAAUUUUCAUACGAUACUGCCUCGGUUAACGAGGAGGAAGGUGGGGUCGAAGUCAGAUCAGCAUGGCCCUUAUACCCUGGGCGACACACGCGCUACAAUGGCCGGUACAAUGGGUCGCGAAAUCGCGAGAUGGAGCUAAUCCCAUCAAAACCGGUCUCAGUUCGGAUUGGAGGCUGCAACUCGCCUCCAUGAAGCCGGAAUCGCUAGUAAACGCAGAUCAGCCACGCUGCGUUGAAUACGUUCUCGGGUCUUGUACACACCGCCCGU
RNAcentral lists this ribosomal RNA (486 nucleotides) under uncultured bacterium. Its description in RNAcentral is "partial 16S ribosomal RNA". It matches the Rfam family "Bacterial small subunit ribosomal RNA", at positions 899 to 1397 of the family's 1533-position model. The record is from RNAcentral.